Molecule: non-coding RNA, 45 nt
Organism: Schistosoma haematobium
Lineage: Eukaryota; Metazoa; Platyhelminthes; Trematoda; Strigeidida; Schistosomatidae
Source: Rfam
AUCCAGCUGACGAGUCCCAAAUAGGAUAAAACGUGAGUUCUGCAU